This 2082-nucleotide ribosomal RNA is filed under the name Salmonella enterica. RNAcentral's name for it is "partial 23S ribosomal RNA". It matches the Rfam family "Bacterial large subunit ribosomal RNA", at positions 962 to 2925 of the family's 2925-position model. The record is from RNAcentral. Lineage: Bacteria; Pseudomonadati; Pseudomonadota; Gammaproteobacteria; Enterobacterales; Enterobacteriaceae. RNAcentral also lists the same sequence under 1 other name.
CCGGAGAAUGUUAUCACGGGAGACACACGGCGGGUGCUAACGUCCGUCGUGAAGAGGGAAACAACCCAGACCGCCAGCUAAGGUCCCAAAGUCAUGGUUAAGUGGGAAACGAUGUGGGAAGGCCCAGACAGCCAGGAUGUUGGCUUAGAAGCAGCCAUCAUUUAAAGAAAGCGUAAUAGCUCACUGGUCGAGUCGGCCUGCGCGGAAGAUGUAACGGGGCUAAACCAUGCACCGAAGCUGCGGCAGCGAACGUAUCACCCAAGACAACUUUACGGAGUUGACGAUUGACGGAGCGAAGCGACGUCAAAGCGUUCAUUAAAGUCGAGUUGGCUUAGGGAUACGUUCGUUGGGUAGGGGAGCGUUCUGUAAGCCUGUGAAGGUGUGUCGUGAGGCAUGCUGGAGGUAUCAGAAGUGCGAAUGCUGACAUAAGUAACGAUAAAGCGGGUGAAAAGCCCGCUCGCCGGAAGACCAAGGGUUCCUGUCCAACGUUAAUCGGGGCAGGGUGAGUCGACCCCUAAGGCGAGGCCGAAAGGCGUAGUCGAUGGGAAACGGGUUAAUAUUCCCGUACUUGGUGUUACUGCGAAGGGGGGACGGAGAAGGCUAUGUUGGCCGGGCGACGGUUGUCCCGGUUUAAGCGUGUAGGUGUGUGUUCCAGGUAAAUCCGGUUCACUUUAACACUGAGGCGUGACGACGAGGCACUACGGUGCUGAAGCAACAAAUGCCCUGCUUCCAGGAAAAGCCUCUAAGCAUCAGGUAACACGAAAUCGUACCCCAAACCGACACAGGUGGUCAGGUAGAGAAUACCAAGGCGCUUGAGAGAACUCGGGUGAAGGAACUAGGCAAAAUGGUGCCGUAACUUCGGGAGAAGGCACGCUGACACGUAGGUGAAGUGAUUUACUCAUGGAGCUGAAGUCAGUCGAAGAUACCAGCUGGCUGCAACUGUUUAUUAAAAACACAGCACUGUGCAAACACGAAAGUGGACGUAUACGGUGUGACGCCUGCCCGGUGCCGGAAGGUUAAUUGAUGGGGUCAGCGCAAGCGAAGCUCCUGAUCGAAGCCCCGGUAAACGGCGGCCGUAACUAUAACGGUCCUAAGGUAGCGAAAUUCCUUGUCGGGUAAGUUCCGACCUGCACGAAUGGCGUAAUGAUGGCCAGGCUGUCUCCACCCGAGACUCAGUGAAAUUGAACUCGCUGUGAAGAUGCAGUGUACCCGCGGCAAGACGGAAAGACCCCGUGAACCUUUACUAUAGCUUGACACUGAACAUUGAGCCUUGAUGUGUAGGAUAGGUGGGAGGCUUUGAAGUGUGGACGCCAGUCUGCAUGGAGCCGACCUUGAAAUACCACCCUUUAAUGUUUGAUGUUCUAACGUGGACCCGUAAUCCGGGUUGCGGACAGUGUCUGGUGGGUAGUUUGACUGGGGCGGUCUCCUCCUAAAGAGUAACGGAGGAGCACGAAGGUUGGCUAAUCCUGGUCGGACAUCAGGAGGUUAGUGCAAUGGCAUAAGCCAGCUUGACUGCGAGCGUGACGGCGCGAGCAGGUGCGAAAGCAGGUCAUAGUGAUCCGGUGGUUCUGAAUGGAAGGGCCAUCGCUCAACGGAUAAAAGGUACUCCGGGGAUAACAGGCUGAUACCGCCCAAGAGUUCAUAUCGACGGCGGUGUUUGGCACCUCGAUGUCGGCUCAUCACAUCCUGGGGCUGAAGUAGGUCCCAAGGGUAUGGCUGUUCGCCAUUUAAAGUGGUACGCGAGCUGGGUUUAGAACGUCGUGAGACAGUUCGGUCCCUAUCUGCCGUGGGCGCUGGAGAACUGAGGGGGGCUGCUCCUAGUACGAGAGGACCGGAGUGGACGCAUCACUGGUGUUCGGGUUGUCAUGCCAAUGGCACUGCCCGGUAGCUAAAUGCGGAAGAGAUAAGUGCUGAAAGCAUCUAAGCACGAAACUUGCCCCGAGAUGAGUUCUCCCUGAGACUUUAGGUCUCCUGAAGGAACGUUGAAGACGACGACGUUGAUAGGCCGGGUGUGUAAGCGCAGCGAUGCGUUGAGCUAACCGGUACUAAUGAACCGUGAGGCUUAACCUUACAACGCCGAAG